UUGACCUCGGAUCAGGUAGGAAUACCCGCUGAACUUAAGCAUAUCAAUAAGCGGAGGAAAAGAAACCAACAGGGAUUGCCCCAGUAACGGCGAGUGAAGCGGCAACAGCUCAAAUUUGAAAUCUGGCCCUCGCGGGUCCGAGUUGUAAUUUGUAGAGGAUGCUUUUGGUGAGGCGCCGCCUGAGUUCCCUGGAACGGGACGCCAUAGAGGGUGAGAGCCCCGUCUGGCUGGCCGCCGAGCCUCUGUAAAGCUCCUUCGACGAGUCGAGUAGUUUGGGAAUGCUGCUCAAAAUGGGAGGUAUAUGUCUUCUAAAGCUAAAUAUUGGCCAGAGACCGAUAGCGCACAAGUAGAGUGAUCGAAAGAUGAAAAGCACUUUGAAAAGAGGGUUAAACAGUACGUGAAAUUGUUGAAAGGGAAGCGCUCGUGACCAGACUUGGGCUUGGCGAAUCAUCCAGGGUUCUCCCUGGUGCACUUUGCCUUGCUCAGGCCAGCAUCAGUUCGCCGCGGGGGAUAAAGGCGUCGGGAACGUGGCUCCCUCGGGAGUGUUAUAGCCCGUCGUGUAAUACCCUGGGGC
RNAcentral lists this ribosomal RNA (574 nucleotides) under Gliocladium sp. NRRL 22971. RNAcentral's name for it is "eukaryotic LSU rRNA". It matches the Rfam family "Eukaryotic large subunit ribosomal RNA", at positions 1 to 582 of the family's 3401-position model. Lineage: Eukaryota; Fungi; Ascomycota; Sordariomycetes; Hypocreales. The record is from RNAcentral.